GAUUAUGGCUCAGGACGAACGCUGGCGGCGUGCCUAACACAUGCAAGUCGAGCGGGGACAUUGCGACGGAGGCGAAGUACUCGUACGGAGUCAAAGAUGUAAUGUUCUAGCGGCGGACGGGUGAGUAACGCGUGAGCAACCUGUCCCUUACAGGGGGAUAACACAGCGAAAGUUGUACUAAUACCGCAUAAGACCACAGGAUGACAUCGUCCAGGGGUCAAAGGAGCAAUCCGGUAAGGGGUGGGCUCGCGUCCGAUUAGAUAGUUGGUGAGGUAACGGCCCACCAAGUCGACGAUCGGUAGCCGACCUGAGAGGGUGAUCGGCCACAUUGGGACUGAGACACGGCCCAAACUCCUACGGGAGGCAGCAGUGGGGAAUAUUGGGCAAUGGGGGGAAACCCUGACCCAGCAACGCCGCGUGAGGGAAGAAGGUUUUCGGAUCGUAAACCUCUGUCCCAGGUGAAGAGGAAGAGACGGUAGCCUGGGAGGAAGCCCCGGCUAACUACGUGCCAGCCGCGGC
RNAcentral lists this ribosomal RNA (519 nucleotides) under uncultured bacterium. RNAcentral's name for it is "bacterial SSU rRNA". It matches the Rfam family "Bacterial small subunit ribosomal RNA", at positions 15 to 518 of the family's 1533-position model. The record is from RNAcentral.